This 489-nucleotide ribosomal RNA is filed under the name Euastacus sulcatus. Its description in RNAcentral is "partial 16S ribosomal RNA". It matches the Rfam family "Archaeal large subunit ribosomal RNA", at positions 2020 to 2713 of the family's 2987-position model. Lineage: Eukaryota; Metazoa; Arthropoda; Malacostraca; Decapoda; Parastacidae. The record is from RNAcentral.
UGACCGUGCGAAGGUAGCAUAAUCAUUAGUCUUUUAAUUGAAGGCUUGUAUGAAUGGUUGGACGAGAAGUAAUCUGUCUCUAUCGAAAAAAUUGAAUUUAACUUUUGAGUGAGAAGGCUUAAAUGGUCUAGAGGGACGAUAAGACCCUAUAAAGUUUAACAUUAUGGUAAUAAAAAGUUGAUUAGGUUGGGGAGCUUACUAUUAUAAAUAAUGUUUUGUUGGGGCGACAAGAACAUAAAUAAUUUAACUGUUCUUUUUUGUAUCAAAAAUAUUUGGGUUAAUGAUCUUUUUAAGAGUAUUAGAGUAAAUUACUUUAGGGAUAACAGCGUAAUUUUUUUUGAGAGUUCCUAUCGACAAAAGAGUUUGCGACCUCGAUGUUGAAUUAAAGAUUCUUUAUAAUGCAGGAGUUAUAUAAGAAGGUCUGUUCGACCUUUAAAUCUUUACAUGAUUUGAGUUCAGACCGGUGUGAGCCAGGUUGGUUUCUAUCUA